GACGAACGCUGGCGGCGUGCUUAACACAUGCCAGUCGAGCGGAAAGGCCCUUCGGGGUACUCGAGCGGCGAACGGGUGAGUAACACGUGAGUAACCUGCCCCAGACUUUGGGAUAACCCUCGGAAACGGGGGCUAAUACCGGAUACGACACAGCUUCGCAUGGGGUCUGUGUGGAAAGUUUUUCGGUUUGGGAUGGGCUCGCGGCCUAUCAGCUUGUUGGUGGGGUGAUGGCCUACCAAGGCGACGACGGGUAGCCGGCCUGAGAGGGCGACCGGCCACACUGGGACUGAGACACGGCCCAGACUCCUACGGGAGGCAGCAGUGGGGAAUAUUGCACAAUGGGCGGAAGCCUGAUGCAGCGACGCCGCGUGAGGGAUGACGGCCUUCGGGUUGUAAACCUCUUUCAGCAGGGACGAAGCGUAAGUGACGGUACCUGCAGAAGAAGCGCCGGCCAACUACGU
RNAcentral lists this ribosomal RNA (461 nucleotides) under uncultured bacterium. RNAcentral describes it as "partial 16S ribosomal RNA". It matches the Rfam family "Bacterial small subunit ribosomal RNA", at positions 28 to 506 of the family's 1533-position model. The record is from RNAcentral.